AUUCCUGAUGCCAAAGUGAAGGAAUUCAAUGAAGGGCGGGUAAAGGGCGGGAGUAACUAUGACUCGAUUAAGGUAGCCAAAUGCCUCGUGAUCUAAUUAGUGACGCGCAUGAAUGGAU
This 118-nucleotide non-coding RNA is filed under the name Salmo salar (Atlantic salmon). RNAcentral's name for it is "Eukaryotic large subunit ribosomal RNA". It matches the Rfam family "Eukaryotic large subunit ribosomal RNA", at positions 2207 to 2324 of the family's 3401-position model. The record is from Rfam by way of RNAcentral. Lineage: Eukaryota; Metazoa; Chordata; Actinopteri; Salmoniformes; Salmonidae.